Molecule: long non-coding RNA, 1457 nt
Filed under: Homo sapiens (human)
Lineage: Eukaryota; Metazoa; Chordata; Mammalia; Primates; Hominidae
Description: non-protein coding lnc-HIST1H2BJ-10:5
Source: RNAcentral
CUUUGGUGUAGUCCUGAAGCUUCCUAAGAAAGUUCACAUCAGGUGAUGGAUAGGAGCAACCCUGUAAAACCAGCCUUAGACUAUUUUUCAAACAGGCUGGUGAAUUACCAGAUCUCCGUCAAGUGCAGUAACCAGUUCAAGUUGGAAGUGUGUCUUUUGAAUGCAGAAAACAAAGUCGUGGACAACCAGGCUGGGACCCAGGGCCAGCUGAAGGUGCUGGGUGCCAACCUCUGGUGGCCGUACCUGAUGCACGAACACCCCGCCUACCUGUACUCGUGGGAGGAUGGUGAUUGCUCACACCAAAGCCUUGGACCCCUCCCAGCCUGUGACCUUUGUGACCAACUCCACCUACGCAGCAGACAAGGGGGCUCUGUAUGUGGAUGUGAUCCGUGUGAACAGCUACUACUCUUGGUAUCGCAACUACGGGCACCUGGAGUUGAUUCAGCUGCAGCUGCCCGCCCAGUUUGAGAAUUGGUGUAAGACAUCACAAUCCCAUUAUUCAGAGCGCGUAUGGAGUGGAAACGCUUAUAGGGUUUCACCAGGAUCCACCUCUGAUGUUCAGUGAAGAGUACCAGAAAAGUCUGCUAGAGCAGUACCAUCUGGGUCUGGAUCAAAAACGCAGAAAAUACGUGGUUGGAGAGCUCAUCUGGAAUUUUGCCGAUUUCAUGACUAACCAGUGUAAGUGGCAGUUUAGCGCAUGGGAUAAUGUACCCGUCCUCAUUUUUUCAGGUUGCCUUGCCCAUUCUGGACAUUUUGGCUGUAAGAAUAUUGGAAACAAAGGGGGAAAGCUGGUUUAUUCCAUGUAGGUUGCGUUGAGAAUUUCCUAGGAAAAGUAAGUUGUGCUUAGGAAGUAGGAAAGCAGCCAGGCCCCCGCUUCCCACAUACAGUCAAAAAGCAAGCAUGAGAGUCUGCUAUAGUGAGAUGGAAAUGGCUAGCUUGCCUUUUUCUUGUCUAUUUCAUAGCCAAGGAGGAAGGAAAAACUGGACCUCAUUAUGAAUUUACUUUUGGGAUACACUCAUUAUUCCAGAGGAGGGUAAAAGGCUGAGAAGCUUAAGGUAUUUCAGUCUGUUUUAUGUUACUCAUUUGCGAAAAGCAGGCUCAUCGAAUACAGGUGAGUUUCAACGUGUCUUGAAUAUGGCAGCAUUUAAAAGUCUUCAGACCAGGCAUGGUGGCUCAUGCCUGUCAUCCCAGCACUUUGGGAGGCCGAGGCAGGCAGAUCAUGAGGUCAGGAGAUCGAGACCAUCCCGGCUAACAGUGAAACCCUGUCUCUACUGAAAAUACAAAAAAAAUCAGCCGGGCGUGGUGGCAGGCGCCUGUAGUCCCAGCUGCUCGGGAGGCUGAGGCAGGAGAAUGGCGUGAACCCAGGAGUUGGAGCUUGCAGUGAGCCGAGAUUGUGCCACUGCACUCCAGCCUGGGCGACAGUGAGACUGCUUCUCAAAAAAAAAAAAAAAAAAAAA